RNAcentral lists this ribosomal RNA (274 nucleotides) under uncultured bacterium. RNAcentral's name for it is "partial 16S ribosomal RNA". It matches the Rfam family "Bacterial small subunit ribosomal RNA", at positions 523 to 796 of the family's 1533-position model. The record is from RNAcentral.
AUAUAGAGGGUGCGAGCGUUAAUCGGAAUUACUGGGCGUAAAGCGCGCGUAGGCGGUCUAUUAAGUCAGAUGUGAAAUCCCAGGGCUCAACCUUGGAACUGCAUCUGAUACUGGUAGACUAGAGUUUUGGAGAGGGAAGUAGAAUUUCAGGUGUAGCGGUGAAAUGCAUAGAGAUCUGAAGGAAUACCAGUGGCGAAGGCGACUUCCUGGCCAAAAACUGACGCUGAGGUGCGAAAGCGUGGGUAGCAAACGGGAUUAGAUACCCUAGUAGUCC